Molecule: non-coding RNA, 89 nt
Organism: Trichophaea hybrida
Lineage: Eukaryota; Fungi; Ascomycota; Pezizomycetes; Pezizales; Pyronemataceae
Source: the annotation of a GenBank genome assembly
UACAGCUUGGCUUAACUGGCUGAGCAUGGUGCUAGAAACACCUGGCGCUGUAAACGCCGAGUGCAGGUUCGAAACCUACAGUGCUGUAA